CAAAACACUAAAAAGAAAGAAUCUGCUCUCUGAAAAAAAAAAGAAUCUGCUCAAAUUUGAAUUUUGUGGGUAAAAGUUUUAACAGAUGAACAACAAAAUAGACAAAAGAAAAUACAAAAAUAAUUAUAAAAAACUGCAAGAAGAAAAAGAAAAGACAAAGAUUAUAUAUUAAAGAAUUAUUUUUUCAUAUUUCACCUGUCAUAAGUGAUGCCUACAUUUGCAUGCCUCUUCUGCUCCCACCUCAAUCAUUAGUUUCUAGCUUUCUGUUGUAGCCCGCUUCUUUUAAGUUGCUUAACCGGUCCAGACCGAAUAGCUUUACUCAGUCGGUUUGUAUAUUCCUUAAAACCUAAAUUUUUAGAAUUAGCAACCACGGAUUUAUCUACAUAUCAGCUCUGAGUUUAUAUUUGGCUAUGCUUUGAAUUUGUUUAAUGAAAUAGAGCAACUAAUCGUAAAUAGUUUCGAUCAAUUUCAACUCAAUACGUUUCCAGUGAUCAUCUUAUUAUCCUAAGCACUCCUAUGUCCAAAGUCAUUAGCAUGUGAUCAAAAUAUAUAUAAAAAAUACAUGAAAGUUCAAUUAAUUUGGAUACAUUGGUCAUACAUUCAUGAUUGAAGAGACUCACUUGUUCUAAGAAUACAUGACUAGUUGAUAGUUAGUCAUCUUCGUCACAUGUACACCGAUGAUGAAGGUGACAUUCACAUGGACAUGAAUAUAUUGAUAUGUGUAUGACCACAAACCACUCUUUAUAGAUUCUCUUCAUUUUGAGGCCACUUGAUCUCACAUCAAAUUAUUUUGCCUCACCAUAACCAAACAAAAGAAGACCAUGUUAUUGAAAACAACUGCACUCUAUAAUCUAUAUAUAUACACAUACACCCAUAUUAUGUUAAUAACUCCAUCACCCUAUCCAAUCUUCACAUUCUGCCAACCCCCUCAACAUGUGCCACCAUCGCUCCUUUGGUCCAUCCCUCUCAA
This 970-nucleotide long non-coding RNA is filed under the name Brassica napus (rape). RNAcentral describes it as "long non-coding RNA (BNAP_LNC002042)". Lineage: Eukaryota; Viridiplantae; Streptophyta; Magnoliopsida; Brassicales; Brassicaceae. The record is from RNAcentral.